AAUAAGUUUAUUUUUUAAUUUUUGGAUAAUAACUUUUCGUCUUAUUUAAAAAAAUUUUCGAUUAAUAUUUUAUUGUUGCUAGAUGAUAAAACAUGAAUAGUACUUCAUGCUUGACUAAUUUCUUAAAGUUUUCCUAUAAAUUUUUCAAAUAAAACGGAUGGUGAAACGUUUGACCCAGAAGUCAAAAAAUAAAGUUAUU
Molecule: microRNA precursor, 199 nt
Filed under: Oryza brachyantha (malo sina)
Lineage: Eukaryota; Viridiplantae; Streptophyta; Magnoliopsida; Poales; Poaceae
Description: MIR812 microRNA precursor family
Rfam family: MIR812 microRNA precursor family
Source: Rfam by way of RNAcentral